Molecule: ribosomal RNA, 466 nt
Filed under: Vreelandella stevensii
Lineage: Bacteria; Pseudomonadati; Pseudomonadota; Gammaproteobacteria; Oceanospirillales; Halomonadaceae
Description: partial 16S ribosomal RNA
Rfam family: Bacterial small subunit ribosomal RNA
Source: RNAcentral
CCUACGGGUGGGCUGCAGUGGGGAAUAUUGGACAAUGGGCGAAAGCCUGAUCCAGCCAUGCCGCGUGUGUGAAGAAGGCCUUCGGGUUGUAAAGCACUUUCAGUGGGGAAGAAAGCCUUGGGGCUAAUACCCUCGAGGAAGGACAUCACCCACAGAAGAAGCACCGGCUAACUCCGUGCCAGCAGCCGCGGUAAUACGGAGGGUGCGAGCGUUAAUCGGAAUUACUGGGCGUAAAGCGCGCGUAGGCGGUCUGAUAAGCCGGUUGUGAAAGCCCCGGGCUCAACCUGGGAAUGGCAUCCGGAACUGUAAGGCUAGAGUGCAGGAGAGGAAGGUAGAAUUCCCGGUGUAGCGGUGAAAUGCGUAGAGAUCGGGAGGAAUACCAGUGGCGAAGGCGGCCUUCUGGACUGACACUGACGCUGAGGUGCGAAAGCGUGGGUAGCAAACAGGAUUAGAUACCCCGGUAGUC